This 2014-nucleotide long non-coding RNA is filed under the name Lupinus angustifolius (narrow-leaved blue lupine). RNAcentral describes it as "long non-coding RNA (LANG_LNC000642)". Lineage: Eukaryota; Viridiplantae; Streptophyta; Magnoliopsida; Fabales; Fabaceae. The record is from RNAcentral.
CAAGUGGAAUUUUUUGCCUCUAUAUAUCUCACUGCCAGUGGAAGUGGAAUUGGAAUUGCGGUCAGCUUCUUCAUUCAAACCUGGUGCAUCACAGAAAUAGGUCCUCUAUACUGCGCAAUGUUCAAACCUCUAAGCAACAGUCAUCAAGGCUUUGAUAAGUGUUACAAGAAGAGCUAUAUUUUGGAAGAAAGCAUAAGGCUGCUAGAUUAGAUGUUCGCACCAAUGUCACAUCCUCUAGGCUUGAUGUUAUCAUAUCUAUUUACAGGAUUGCAGUUGUUGGCAUUCUGAUGGAAACUGAAGUUGCAGACAAUUGGUUGAGUGGUCUGCAUUGAAGAGAACUAACUGUUAAAGUAUGGUUGUUAUAUUUUUUUGGAGUAAUAAUAGAGCAUUCUAAACAAUCAGAGGACACAUUCUCGUACACAUUUUAAACGAAAAUCAAGUAUGAUUCAGCAUAAUUCCAAGUAAAUGGCACUCAAUGGGUAGAAUGUAACAUUAUGGGCAUUUCAGUUACAAUAAGCUAAAGGGCAGCAAUCAUGAGGUAAUCAAAAUAAAGUCAGAAAGGUGAUUCAGCCAUGGGUUAUCAACAGACAGAAUUCCAAAAGUAGCAAUAAAAGAGAUAUAUAUAUAUCAGAAACUCCUACCUGUUAAGCUCUCCCAAUUUUCAGUUAAACAUCAUCAUUAUCAACAUAAAGGAGAGUAUUCAUGGGCAGCCUUAAAGGAGAAUAAAAAACUGAAGCAAUCGAGAAAGUCUUUCAGUUACAUCAAUAAUCAGCAUAAAAGAAUAACCAGGAGAGUAGAGAGGGUCUAUCAUACACGGUUAUCAAAAAAAGGGAACUCACAACCAGAGAGAGCAGAUCACACAGUGAUAAAAACAGCAAGCCGAAAGUAACACAGAAAAGGGAGAGAGAUAAGAUUUAUGAGAUAGAGAAAUUAUUAUAAAAAGCAAAGCAUAAGUGUAGGCAUAGUUCUGUCAGAUUACACAAAAGCAAGAAGGGACAUAAAAAGCAAACAGCUAGAGGAAAGAGAUUGACACCUAUUUGAGGCAGGGACAACAAAGUUACAUAUAGAGUUCGCAUCAGGUAAUAAUUUGUCCGGCUUUAUUCAGGUAUUAAUCCUAAGUUAUAAGUCCAUAUAGUUAUUUUAUAUGAAUCAUGCUCAUUUAGUCAUACAGAAAAAUAUAUAUUCAAGUUUGAGUAAGAACGAAAACAAAAGUAUAUUGCGAAAACCUGAAAAUAGUUUGAGAGUAUGAUUGAAUAUUCACUGGGUUGUUAUCUUUAAGCAUCCACAUUACCAAACAAGCUAGACAUUUAAAAGAAGUAAGUGAAGAUAGUCACCAUUCCUUAAUAAGCUUCCUUACCCGCAUGGAUUCCGAACCUCAACCACUGAGAUCCCUAAUGUAACCUUCAUUGGCCGUAUGUACCCUUCUCCCAUGUCUUAACAAGUUGCUGUAAAAAUUCUAAAAAACACAUACCCACAUUCAGAACAGUAACCACCUUAAGCCACCCGAAGUGAGAACUGAACCACCGUAAACCAUUAUCUCAGGAGAUACCGUCCUUUCAUCGCGAGUCCAUUAAGCCACCUCGAUUCGAACCUCAAACCACCGCACCUCACCAUAACCCUCGCAUCAUCGCCAUUAAACGAAGAAGAAAGAAGAGUGGAGGUUGCAGAAAGGAGACAUGGAGAAUUAGGGGUUUACCCCUGACCGUGAGUCCUACGAUGAUUGGGCUCGGUCCUUGGCCACCACCGGUGCUCUAUAGCCGGAGUCAUGUUGUAGAAUAAAUAAGGAUGAAGACCACAACCUUCUCUCUACGGUGCUCGGUACUCACCGGAAUUGAAGGUCUGCAACCUCCGUCCUUUAUUGCGCCACCUCCUUGGCUACUGCUUUGAAAGAGAAGAGAGGGUUGAGGGAUUAGGGAUUUCAAUCCCCUUUUUCCCUUCCAACUUAUGUUUCACGUGAAACAGUAGGGAGACCCCUUUCUUUGUUAAUACCUUUUAUUAUUACUUUUUAUUAUUU